GCCAUAAUUACCCAAUAAAAAAUAGUGUAUAUGCAUUAAGUACACUUAAUAAUUUCUCCUCAAUUACGCUCCAAGCUACAAUUUUCAACAUAUAUAUUACAAGAACUACGCAAAGUACUCAAUAGAGUUCGCUGAAUAAUAGUUUUGCCAUUCUUUUGGGCGAUGCAAUUGAAAAGGGUUAUAACAUCACAAUCAACGAGGAGAUACAUUUGAAAGAGUUACCUGAUUAACCGAACAAAUUUUGGGACUUGAAGAUGAAGCUGAUCUUGCAACAAAUUGCCCGAUAGAAAAUGCUGGUUGCCUGGGUUGAGGGAGUGUUAUGGUAUCACUUCCCAACAUAACAACAACAGACGACACAGUAGGUCUCUCUGCUGGGUCGUCUUGCACACACAACAGUCCAAUGUGGAUGCACUUUAGCACCUCAGCAGCCACACUUGAAUUCACAAGUGACGGGUCCAUCAAUUCCAAUCCUUCACCUUUAGACCACAAUUUCCAUGCCUGAAAUGAUAUUGGAGUCCAAAUGUUCAAUUAUAUAUGAUAAUGUUACUAUUCUUUCAUUCGAGGGAAAGACAAGGAUAGGAAUGUACAUAAGUGACGAGGCUUUCACCCUCUUCUGAAAUAUAAAACCGACUGCUCCUUUUCCCACUAAUCAUCUCUAAUAAGAGAACUCCAAAACUGAAAAUAUCUGAUUUUACUGAAAAAAGUCCUUCCAUAGCAUACUCUGGAGACAUAUAUCCACUGUUUGAAUUCAUGAAAAACUAGAUAAAAUUAGUAAGGAAUUAAAUUUAUAAAAGUUUUCUUCAUCAUUAAUUAGAAUAUAUCUGAAGAAGGAAGGAUUGCAUAAGGAAAAUUUUGUUCAUGCUUACUAUGUUCCAACAAUUCUAUUGGUACUGUUGUUGUCAUUUCCUUGGAAAAUCCUUGCCAUUCCAAAGUCUGAUAUUUUGGGGUUCAUCUCAUAAUCAAGCAAAAUAUUACUAGCUUUUAAAUCCCGGUGAAUAAUUCUAAGUCGAGAAUCUUCAUGCAGAUACAAGAGACCCUUGGCAACCCCAUUGAUGAUGCCAAGGCGUCUUUGCCAAUCAAGAUGUAAACCCAUGUUUGAAUCUGAGAAGCAUGAAUGCAAAUAGAAUUCAAAUCAGCAAGCACCUUUUCUACCCUUCAUUAAUUUCCAGUAUAUUAUAGCAGGUAAUAUAGAGUAUAAGAAUCAAACCAAAAAUAAAGAAAUCGAGGCUUUUGUUGGGCAUGUACUCAUAGAUGAGCAACUUUUCAUUUUUUUCUAGGCAACAUCCUAACAGCCUGACAAGAUUUCUGUGCUGUAAUCUGGCAAUUAAAGUGACUUCAUUCAUGAAUUCUUGUAGUCCUUGACCAGAAGUUGCUGAGAGCCUCUUAACUGCAACUUCUUUGCCAUCUUCUAAUGUGCCCUGAAAGCAUCUUUCAAUUAAUAUUGCAAAGUAAAAAGGAAGAUGUAUAUCUGUGGAAAUUCUCAUCCUUCUCUGUGGAAGAAUUGGAGAUAGUGGCCUUAUAAACUCUGGACAUUAGCUGUGUGAUUAUCGGCUAGAUGCAUUAAUAGUCGAUUUAAUAACCAUGCUUACCUUGUAAACAGGGCCAAACCCGCCUUCUCCAAGUUUGGCUUCAUCAGAAAAAUGUUUCGUUGCCUCAUAUAUGAUAUUGAACGGUAUCAUAGGAAAAUCCUGAGCGUUCAUUGCCAUCUCUUCUUCUCGAGUAAUUUUACUUAAAGGGUCAGAUCCAAUUCUUCCCAUUCCCAAGUCAAGUAAUUGAACCUCUUGGCUAAUUUCUUUGUCCUCAUUUUGAAGAAUCUUCCUUCUCCAUAUGGUAUAAAUGCUGGAACUGAACAGCAUUAACACUACAAUCGCUGCAGAAGUACUUGCAAUGAUUUUAAUCUGAGUUUUUUUGCCUCCCUUCCCUUCUUCAGGUCUUGUUAUUGAACCUGGAACUGGAGGAGGAGGAGGAGGGAAGACAAGUCCUCCCGGGACAACAGUUGAAUUAUAAUUAGGAUAAAUCUCACGCGAAAAUCCGGUUUCGUUAUAAAAUGGAUAUAGUUCAUACUGAAUAUUACAGCUCGGAGACAUGAUUCUUGCUCCUUGCUUUCCACUACAACAACUUGGAAUAUUUGAGAUAGCACUCUGAAGACAUUCAUAACAGUUUGCGGCAGAUAGGUCCGGUGUGCACUGGGAGAGGGUGUACAGUUUGUGAAACCCAAAAUUCGUUUCUUUAACUGCAAAUUUUUUAGCACCCGAUGGAGCAUUUGCAGCCUCAUUUGCUAUUUCACCCAUGGUUUUCGCCAGUAGCUCGUUAAAACGCUCCAUGUCUGUGACAUUCUGUGUAUUCCACAUAAAGAAAGCAGGUUUUAGUGCCAAGAUGGACACGAUACGUUGACUUGAAUAACGCAGGAAGCAGUUGUCAUAGCAUAACAUGGCCUCUUUUCCAAUCGGACAUUGUCCAACGAUGUCCUUUGUCGCAUUGGUGACACAAUUUUGGCAGAUGUCGGUGCUAAUAUCGCCGAAGCAUAAAUAGAGGCCAUAGACAACAUCUGAUUCACUCCCAGAAGAUGAGGCAUAGAACCCAUUGACACUUGAUGCUGACGACGACGAAAGUUGAGAGAGGAGAGUAUUAAGAUUGGUCUGGUAGGUGCUCUUUCUGGUGAAAGUGGCUGCGUCUGAGCGAAUAAUAGGGAAAGAACUGGGCUGUGCUUCCGAGGUAAUGGUAACGCCAACCAAGAUUAAGGGAAGGAUUAAGGAAAAUUUGACAGGCAUCAUUUGGUGGAUCAAAUGAGGGAGGCUUGGUGCAGGGGAGAUUUCUCAAAGCAAGUCAACAAACUAAUGCCAGUGAAGUGGGAGAGAAUAGAAACGUCAGAGCGUAAUAUAAGGAUGAUCCCAGUGGAAAAUUUAGAAAUAUAAAUCCUAGAAGGUAGACGAGAAAGACGAC
RNAcentral lists this unclassified non-coding RNA (2943 nucleotides) under Hevea brasiliensis (rubber tree). Lineage: Eukaryota; Viridiplantae; Streptophyta; Magnoliopsida; Malpighiales; Euphorbiaceae. The record is from RNAcentral.